UCCAGGGUAGCCUAGUGGACAUGGCAUCUGCCCGGUAAGCGGAACACUGUGGGUUCGCUUUCCAUUCCUGGAC
Cordylochernes scorpioides is the source of this 73-nucleotide non-coding RNA. The record is from the annotation of a GenBank genome assembly. NCBI's taxonomy places the organism in Eukaryota, Metazoa, Arthropoda, Arachnida, Pseudoscorpiones, Chernetidae.